AAGAACCCCGGGAGGGGAGUGAAAAAGAACAUGAAACCGUGAGCUUACAAGCAGUGGGAGUCCGAUUAAACGGAUGACCGCGUGCCUGUUGAAGAAUGAGCCGGCGACUUAUAGGUACUGGUAGGUUAAAGCGGGAAUGCUGGAGCCAAAGGGAAACCGAGUCUGAAAAGGGCGAUAAUCAGUAUUUAUAGACCCGAACCCUGGUGAUCUAACCAUGGCCAGGAUGAAGCUUGGGUAAAACCAAGUGGAGGUCCGAACCGACCGAUGUUGAAAAAUCGGCGGAUGAGCGGUGGUUAGGGGUGAAAUGCCAAUCGAACCAGGAGCUAGCUGGUUCUCCCCGAAAUGUGUU
Molecule: ribosomal RNA, 349 nt
Filed under: Cylindrospermopsis raciborskii C07
Lineage: Bacteria; Bacillati; Cyanobacteriota; Cyanophyceae; Nostocales; Aphanizomenonaceae
Description: bacterial LSU rRNA
Rfam family: Bacterial large subunit ribosomal RNA
Source: RNAcentral